This 84-nucleotide transfer RNA is filed under the name Capillimicrobium parvum. It matches the Rfam family "tRNA". From Rfam's summary of the family: Transfer RNA (tRNA) molecules are approximately 80 nucleotides in length. Their secondary structure includes four short double-helical elements and three loops (D, anti-codon, and T loops). Further hydrogen bonds mediate the characteristic L-shaped molecular structure. tRNAs have two regions of fundamental functional importance: the anti-codon, which is responsible for specific mRNA codon recognition, and the 3' end, to which the tRNAs corresponding amino acid is attached (by aminoacyl-tRNA synthetases). tRNAs cope with the degeneracy of the genetic code in two manners: having more than one tRNA (with a specific anti-codon) for a particular amino acid; and 'wobble' base-pairing, i.e. permitting non-standard base-pairing at the 3rd anti-codon position. The record is from Rfam by way of RNAcentral. Lineage: Bacteria; Bacillati; Actinomycetota; Thermoleophilia; Solirubrobacterales; Capillimicrobiaceae.
GCGGCGGUGGAGGAACUGGAAUACUCGAUGCACUCAAAAUGCAUUGCCCUUUCGGGAUUGUGGGUUCGAAUCCCACCCGCCGCA